Molecule: ribosomal RNA, 468 nt
Filed under: uncultured bacterium
Lineage: Bacteria
Description: partial 16S ribosomal RNA
Rfam family: Bacterial small subunit ribosomal RNA
Source: RNAcentral
GACGAACGCUGGCGGCGUGCUUAACACAUGCAAGUCGAACGGAAAGGCCCUGCUUUUGUGGGGUGCUCGAGUGGCGAACGGGUGAGUAACACGUGUGUAACCUGCCCUUGACUUUGGGAUAACUUCAGGAAACUGGGGCGAAUACCGGAUAGGAGCUCCUGCUGCAUGGUGGGGGUUGGAAAGUUUCGGCGGUUGGGGCUGGAUUCGCGGCUUAUCAGCUGGUUGGUGGGGUAGUGGCUGACCAAGGCUGUGACGGCUAGCCGGCCUGAGAGGGUGACCGGCCACAUUGGGACUGAGAUACGGCCCAGACUCCUACGGGAGGCAGCAGUGGGGAACAUUGCACAAUGGGCGGAAGCCUGAUGCAGCAACGCCGCGUGCGGGAUGACGGCCUUCUGGUUGUAAACCGCUUUCGCCUGUGACGAAGCGUGAGUGACGGUAAUGGGUAAAGAAGCAACGGCUAACUACGUG